This 395-nucleotide ribosomal RNA is filed under the name uncultured bacterium. RNAcentral's name for it is "bacterial SSU rRNA". It matches the Rfam family "Bacterial small subunit ribosomal RNA", at positions 30 to 429 of the family's 1533-position model. The record is from RNAcentral.
AUUGAACGCUGGCGGCAUGCCUUACACAUGCAAGUCGAACGGCAGCGGACCUUCGGGUGCCGGCGAGUGGCGAACGGGUGAGUAAUAUAUCGGAACGUACCUUUCAGUGGGGGAUAACGUAGCGAAAGUUACGCUAAUACCGCAUACUCUGUGAGCAGGAAAGCAGGGGAUCGCAAGACCUUGCGCUGAUUGAGCGGCCGAUAUCAGAUUAGCUAGUUGGUGAGGUAAAGGCUCACCAAGGCGACGAUCUGUAGCGGGUCUGAGAGGAUGAUCCGCCACACUGGAACUGAGACACGGUCCAGACUCCUACGGGAGGCAGCAGUGGGGAAUUUUGGACAAUGGGCGCAAGCCUGAUCCAGCCAUGCCGCGUGAGUGAAGAAGGCCUCGGUUGUAAG